Molecule: ribosomal RNA, 899 nt
Filed under: uncultured bacterium
Lineage: Bacteria
Description: bacterial SSU rRNA
Rfam family: Bacterial small subunit ribosomal RNA
Source: RNAcentral
AGGAUGAACGCUAGCUACAGGCUUAACACAUGCAAGUCGAGGGGAAACGACAUCGAAAGCUUGCUUUCGAUGGGCGUCGACCGGCGCACGGGUGAGUAACGCGUAUCCAACCUGCCCAUCACUUGGGGAUAACCUUGCGAAAGUAAGACUAAUACCCAAUGACGUCUCUAGAAGACAUCUGAAGGAGAUUAAAGAUUUAUCGGUGAUGGAUGGGGAUGCGUCUGAUUAGCUUGUUGGCGGGGUAACGGCCCACCAAGGCGACGAUCAGUAGGGGUUCUGAGAGGAAGGUCCCCCACAUUGGAACUGAGACACGGUCCAAACUCCUACGGGAGGCAGCAGUGAGGAAUAUUGGUCAAUGGGCGAGAGCCUGAACCAGCCAAGUAGCGUGCAGGAUGACGGCCCUAUGGGUUGUAAACUGCUUUUAUAAGGGAAUAAAGUGAGCCUCGUGAGGCUUUUUGCAUGUACCUUAUGAAUAAGGACCGGCUAAUUCCGUGCCAGCAGCCGCGGUAAUACGGAAGGUCCGGGCGUUAUCCGGAUUUAUUGGGUUUAAAGGGAGCGUAGGCCGGAGAUUAAGCGUGUUGUGAAAUGUAGACGCUCAACGUCUGCACUGCAGCGCGAACUGGUUUCCUUGAGUACGCACAAAGUGGGCGGAAUUCGUGGUGUAGCGGUGAAAUGCUUAGAUAUCACGAAGAACUCCGAUUGCGAAGGCAGCUCACUGGAGCGCAACUGACGCUGAAGCUCGAAAGUGCGGGUAUCGAACAGGAUUAGAUACCCUGGUAGUCCGCACGGUAAACGAUGGAUGCCCGCUGUUGGUCUGAAUAGGUCAGCGGCCAAGCGAAAGCAUUAAGCAUCCCACCUGGGGAGUACGCCGGCAACGGUGAAACUCAAAGGAAUUGACG